CAACAUAGUAUGUGUAAAUGUAUUAGGAAUAAUAAGUAUCCACAAGAAGAAUAGUAAAUACAGAGGAGUUCACUUUCAAAGGGGUUCCAAGAUGGCCGCCGGGUGUACCAAGAUGGCCACCGCGAGUUGGGAUAAAAAAGAAUUACAAAUAAUGUACUUAAACUUGAGUCUAGAUAGAAUAGGGAAGGAGGAGGACUCAACAAAAACAAAACCCUUUUAAAGGGUACACAAGUGCCCAAAACCUAAUCCUUUUUUUCCCCUUUAUUUAUAAAAAAUUUAACAAAUCAAAAUCAACAAUAAGCCCUUUAGGGGCCAUGGUAUCAAGUGUAAAAACUCAGCUCAUUUCAGUUCUCCCUAACAGUGGCAAACUGGUGCACAUACUGCGGUCGCAGCUGCAACCGGGAUCGGCCCACCAGGUAUGUACGCCAGUUUGCGAGCCUCUUCUCCUGGGGGGCCCAGGACCUCAGGGCCCCCCAUGGCUGGCAGUGCUGUCACCGGGCGCGCGGGAGCAAUCUCCCCUGAGUUUCUCUGAAACUGCUAUGUUUAUAGAAGAAAGGGUUAAUCCUAGCUGGACCUGGCACCCAGACCACUUCAUUAAAUUUAAGUGGUCUGGGUGUCUAUAGUGGUCUUUAAAGUUUUACUUUGGCACAUUGCUACCAAAGGUUUGUCUACCCCUGCUUUAGUGAAAAACCCUGUUGUCAGUAAUCAAAAACUUCUAAACUUCUAAUGGUAGUGCUUUCUAAUUUUUUUUGUGCCUGUAUAUGUAUUAUUUUCUCUGUAAUCACCGUUUUUAAAUCAUUUUAAUUUUCUGUACAUCACUCUUAAUAGGGAUGACAAGAAAUGUUAAAUAAAUAGAUGUGGCCAAUAUACAGUAUAUGUUAUACUGUUUGUUUACCACUAGAUGGCAAUGAUUCCAUUUAGUUACUCUGGCCUUAAAUUUGAAAUUCACUUUGAAUUCUCACUUAAAGGGAAACUCCAGGCAGCCCUUUUUACUCACCUUGUUCCAGCGCUGGGAGCCUCGUGAAGCCGCGCCCCCUAUUUCGUCAAAAAUAGGCUCAGCUCACGGUCUUUGCCUGCCCCCUCUCCUCUGCUAACAGGCAGGAGAGAGAAGGCGUGCACACAGUGCCUUCUCUCUCCUGCACACGUCAGACGUAUUUUAAUACGGGCCAUACAUGAUAGGAAGUCCCUCUGGUGGCCUUCUGAGUGAUGACCACUGGAGGUAUUCCUAUCAAUCAAUGUAAACACUGUAUUUUCUCUUUACAUUAGGUUGCCUGCAGGGAGCUAUAGAUUUAACCUGAACAACUACAUUAAGCUGUAGUUGUUCAGGUGACUAUAGUGUCCCUUUAAGUAAAUAACCCUGCUGAUUCAGAGGCUGGCUUGGGAUCCAAUAUCUGCCCAUAACAACUGGAUCAUAUUUCCCCCCAUGUCUUCGCUAGUGACAUCAUGCCAUUCAAAUGGCAGACGUACUUUUCAAAAAUUUAAAUAUCAUGAAAUAUUUGUAUAUAAAUACGUAAUAAAUUGACCCCCCCCCCAAAAAAAAAGCAAAAACAAGUGUACCUCAUUUUUAAAAAGUAAGAAUAUGAGAAUACAUGAGUAGAACUCAAAAAAUAAAUCUGCUUUAUAAUAGAAAAAAAUUUACAUGGUAGUCCUAACAUAUUUAGCUAGAGCACCCCUGAACCACUUACUUGCAAGUGAUGACACUGAUCACAUUAUUUCAUUACAAUGUACAUUAUAAAUUGGUAGAAAUGUAAUAAAACGAGUAUAACAAUCCAUGAAUUAACUAGAGAGCUACUUCUGCUACAAUAAACCUUGUUUGAAAGAUGGCAAAUUCAACCUGGAUCUUCAGGAUACCUUGAUUUCAGGCUCCUGUACCACUGUCCUGGAUUAGUCCAGCUCGCUGUAUGUAGUGGUUAUGCUGCAAGGAGUGUCCUGGCAUCCUCCCCAGGUGCAGGAGUCUUACUUGGGGUCUGCUGGAGUCUCUCUCGAUCUCCACUCGUAAAGACCAAGAGAUGGUGACUCCUAAGCAGAAGCUUCUGUUAGUUCUCCAGAGCUAAGCCUGGCAGCAAAGGGCUAGUUCACUGACUGAGCUAAGCCUUACAGAGAGCUUCUGGCUCUCUAUUUUAAGCAGUAGAGGCGGAAAGUGGGGCUCAUGGUACCCUUGGUAAAAAAACAAACUGUUCUAAAAUGGUUUGAAUCCUUACAAUGGAUGAGUGACAGGGCACUUCUGGCACCAUAACGACUACAGUCUUUACGCCCUGCAUGAAAGUUCUGAGUGUUCCCCAUAGAUCUGCACUGAUUUAAUGCAUCAUUAUAAGGAGAUGCUGAUUGGCUCAGCGUUUUGCUGUGCAUGCGCAUUAGACUCAAGAUGUUUUCCUAUGGGAAAGCAUUGGAUUGGCUGAGAUCAUUAAGAUCAAAUCCCAAGACAUGGCAAAGAAUAGCUGUUGGCCAUGUUUUAUUCAGGAAAGAUGGCCUCAGUUUAACCUGACUCUAGUCAGGGCAGAAUAUGAAUUUUAUUCAAUGCUCUAUAUAUAUUAUGUAAUAAAAUCCAUGAAUGCAGAUGUAUAAGUUGAUUGGGAGAUUUAUACUGGAAUAGCGGCAGUAGAUGACCAGGGUUUCCAAAUUUUCAGUGAAGACUUUACUAAAGUAUAUACUAUGACCAUGUUAUCUUUUUUUUUUUUUUCAAUUUAGAACAGUGAUUCUAAUAUUUUGUUGGAUUAACGAACACUUAGCUAUUCCUUGCCAUUUCUCAGGAUUUGAUAUGUUGUGUAUAAAUGCUAGAGUAAGCAACUGAUGUCACUGGAGCCGAAUGUGCAUGCGCUGAAAGUGCCACGUGUGCAUUCAAAGUGUCCAUAGGAAUACUUUCCUAUGGACGCUCUGGGCGACAGAGGUGAAACUCUCCGGAAGACAGCCACUAGAGGCUGGAUUAACCCCAAAAGUAAACAUAGCAGUUUCUCUGAAACUGUUAUGUUUACAUGUGAAGAGUUAAAACCUGAGGGACCUGGCACCCAGACCACUUCAUUGAGCUGAAGUGUCUGGGUGACUAUAGUGUCCCUUUAAAUUUGAAAUUCACUUUGAAUUCUCGCUUUAGAUAAAAACCCUGUUAGUCAAAUCCAUGAACAUCAUAGUGAAUUGAAAAAUAAAUUGUGAAAUACUUGUACAAAAUGUAUCUAAGCCAGGCUGUUCUCUAUUACUAUUCUGAUUUUGUUUUGCCACCUCAGUUAUAUUUCCAAAUCAUCUAUUGACCUAAAAUGUGCAAUUCUCUUGUUAAUUUUCCAUGAUUCCCAGUUCAGUAAACACACCCACAGUGACAAUAGUUAAUACCCGGUUGUCCCUAUGUUCUGACAUAAUUCAUACACUGUGUUCCAGCCUGGCCUCUCCAGCUCUGCUCUCUGCCUUUCGAUCUGCUCUGUG
Non-coding RNA from Pelobates cultripes (western spadefoot toad), 3411 nucleotides. NCBI's taxonomy places the organism in Eukaryota, Metazoa, Chordata, Amphibia, Anura, Pelobatidae. The record is from the annotation of a GenBank genome assembly.